Molecule: small nucleolar RNA, 135 nt
Organism: Perognathus longimembris pacificus (Pacific pocket mouse)
Lineage: Eukaryota; Metazoa; Chordata; Mammalia; Rodentia; Heteromyidae
Product: small nucleolar RNA SNORA48
Exons: 1
Source: RefSeq, a predicted model, not a curated record
UGUUCUUGGUCUGGGCAAAGUGUCAUCAACUUCAUGGUUCUCAUAUUAAAUCAGCCAGGGGCAAAAAAAUUCCAUAUAAAAAAACACAUGGCUUUUGAUCUAUGCCUAUGUUUGGUUCAUGCCUUGGGCACAUGU